Molecule: ribosomal RNA, 274 nt
Filed under: uncultured bacterium
Lineage: Bacteria
Description: partial 16S ribosomal RNA
Rfam family: Bacterial small subunit ribosomal RNA
Source: RNAcentral
ACACGGAGGGUGCAAGCGUUAAUCGGAAUUACUGGGCGUAAAGCGCGCGUAGGCGGAUAUUUAAGUCUCAUGUGAAAGCCCUGGGCUCAACCUGGGAACUGCAUGGGAUACUGGGUAUCUAGAAUACAGUAGAGGGUAGUGGAAUUUCAGGUGUAGCGGUGAAAUGCGUAGAGAUCUGAAGGAACAUCAGUGGCGAAGGCGACUACCUGGACUGAUCUUGACGCUGAGGUACGAAAGCGUGGGUAGCAAACGGGAUUAGAAACCCUAGUAGUCC